UACAGAGGGUGCGAGCGUUAAUCGGAAUUACUGGGCGUAAAGCGUGCGCAGACGGUUGCGUAAGUCAGAUGUGAAAGCCCCGGGCUCAACCUGGGAAUUGCAUUUGAGACUGCGUAGCUAGGGUGCGGAAGAGGGAAGCGGAAUUGCCGGUGUAGCGGUGAAAUGCGUAGAUAUCGGAAGGAACACCAGUGGCGAAGGCGGCUUCCUGGUCCAGCACCGACGUUCAGGCGCGAAAGCGUGGGGAGCAAACAGG
RNAcentral lists this ribosomal RNA (253 nucleotides) under uncultured bacterium. Its description in RNAcentral is "partial 16S ribosomal RNA". It matches the Rfam family "Bacterial small subunit ribosomal RNA", at positions 524 to 776 of the family's 1533-position model. The record is from RNAcentral.